Molecule: long non-coding RNA, 2145 nt
Filed under: Mus musculus (house mouse)
Lineage: Eukaryota; Metazoa; Chordata; Mammalia; Rodentia; Muridae
Description: CMT1A duplicated region transcript 4, opposite strand 2 (Cdrt4os2)
Source: RNAcentral
ACUGGCCGAAGACAUAGUCAUUAAAGGUGAAUGUUAGGGCAACCCAUCCUUGACCUAGACAGAGAGUCCAAGACCAGGCACUCUGCAUAAAUGACCUCAUUCGGGGUGUUCAGACUCAGAGAAUGAAGAAGAUACCGGCUUGAAUCUCACUUCCAACAAAAUUACUCUGAACCAGACCUGACCAGUUCUGAAGACAAGUGAGUCCAGGAGUUCAAAUCCUUUGUGCCAAGAUCAACUAGAAAGCCAAUAAUGGUGCAUAUGACUAGGUCCUCUCCCCAGCCACACCCUACAUGAUAGUCUGGCUCCAAGACCUGCAGUGGAAACAAAGAAUUGGUUGCAUUAACAAGGCUUACCCUCAACUUGUCCAGAAGGGAUCUGAAGCUGCACUUCUGAGACUCAAACAAGCACGUGAUCUGUCUGCAAAGCAAGUACCUGGCCUUCCUCAGAACCAUCACCAUUUUCUAAUGCUGGCUUCUCCAACUCAAAGCCCAGGCAGAGCUCUUAUGAUUAUUCUGUUUACCUGCUGGGAUUCUUGCCUCCCUCUAGAUUCUAGUCCCUCCUCAGUGGUGGUGCCUUCUCUUUCAUCAGCUUUUGCCUGAAUCAGCUACACCACAGAUUCACCGAGCUCCUUCUUUCCAGCCUCGAGUGUCUUCACUCAGUGUUUCUAACAGGCUCCUCCCUUUUCGCAUUGAGGAAGUACGAAUCCUGUGAGAAGGUGUAUGUGAAGAGGUGCAGGGAGGCUCAGAUUUUGGGUAGGGCGGGAUUUGUGUUGAGCCAGCCAGGCUGGGGAAGUUGGUGGGCAUCCCUGUGUCUAGCACAGAUCUGGUUGGAAGUACAACAGAUGGGGAGGUAACUGUCAUAGGAUUCCCCAAAACUUCCAAACUCCCUAUCCAUAAGCCUCCUGUAGAGUAAAGGACGCUCAGUUGCUUGUAUAGUAUAGAUAGUAUAGUAUAGUAUAGUAUAGUAUAGUAUAGUAUAGUAUAGAUACUGAUCAUGUGAGAUGGCACAGGACCUAGGACAGACAGACCACUGGAGAGGCUAGAGAGAUGCCUGCCCAUGCACAAAGUACUUUAGGAGGCCAUGACACUCAGCUGGUCCAUGUCUAUGUCACUCCUGGCCAGACUCCAAACCAAGAAAAGAAAAUCUGUAGCCUGAGUUGUUUGCCUCCCACAGGGCUUGCCUGGCCUUUGGCUGCUGGCUGCAGGGAGAUGCAUUUUUCCUUCCUCUGUGGGCAGCAAAUUCCCCACAAGUCAGAUGCUGUGUAUGUGGCCUCACCACAUGCUUCUACUGAGGCUUUUGGGUGCCUCCUUUCUUUUAUAAGAGUUGCCUAUAAUGGUGUCUCUUCACAGCAAUAGAAGAGUGACUAAGACAGGUGGACCAUCCUUAACCCGAAGUUUGAAAUGCUCCCAAACUUGAAACUUCUUGAGAGAAGACAUGUUACAAGGAGAGAACUUGACUCAUGACUUCAUGUGAAAAGUUAAAAUGCAGUCAAAAUGCAGAUAUACAGAAUUAUCUUUAGGCUGUCCUCAUACAAUGUAUAUGGACAGUCAUACUUUGUGCUUAGACUCAUUCCCAAGACCUCAUGAUGCAUGCAAAUACUUCCAAGUCAGAAAUCCCAAAUCCCAAACCCUCCUUGUUCCCAAGCACUUAGGAUCUGCAGUGUUCAGCCAGCUUAGCACUGCUCUUUUCUACAGUUAGUGAUACAGUUAAACUUGCAAGUUGGGCACCAUAGGAGACUAACCGCUCUCAUACUGUCAGGCUGUCUUCAUAAAGUACUGUUACUUGUGAAUAUUUGUCCAUGGGUCACUUACUCAUUAUCCAACAAACAAUUCCUACUUAAGUAGGAAUUGAGUAUAUUCAUUAUCUACUCAAAAACACUUUAAAAUUGAUCACAAGAGGCUUUAUUUAGCACUUUUAAACUUAACACAAUCAAACUCUCAUAUGAUGUAAACAGUAGAAUGACCCUAGACAUAUUUCCAAAGCUUUACAUGAGGGCUGGAGAGAUGGCUUGGUGGUUAGGGGUGAUUGGUGUUCUUGCAGAGGACCAGGGUUCAAUUCCCAGCACCCUUGUGAAGGUCCACAGCUGUCCCAAGAUUUCAUACAAAGUUUGGAAGAUGUGAAAAAAAUACAAUUUUUUUCUAUAGA